AGGAUCAUUACACAAAUAUGAAGGCGGGCUGGAACCUCUCGGGGUUACAGCCUUGCUGAAUUAUUCACCCUUGUCUUUUGCGUACUUCUUGUUUCCUUGGUGGGUUCGCCCACCACUAGGACAAACAUAAACCUUUUGUAAUUGCAAUCAGCGUCAGUAACAAAUUAAUAAUUACAACUUUCAACAACGGAUCUCUUGGUUCUGGCAUCGAUGAAGAACGCAGCGAAAUGCGAUAAGUAGUGUGAAUUGCAGAAUUCAGUGAAUCAUCGAAUCUUUGAACGCACAUUGCGCCCUUUGGUAUUCCAAAGGGCAUGCCUGUUCGAGCGUCAUUUGUACCCUCAAGCUUUGCUUGGUGUUGGGCGUCUUGUCUCUAGCUUUGCUGGAGACUCGCCUUAAAGUAAUUGGCAGCCGGCCUACUGGUUUCGGAGCGCAGCACAAGUCGCACUCUCUAUCAGCAAAGGUCUAGCAUCCAUUAAGCCUUUUUUUCAACUUUUGACCUCGGAUCAGGUAGGGAUACCCGCUGAACUUAAGCAUAUCAAUAAGCGGGAGGAA
Molecule: ribosomal RNA, 552 nt
Filed under: Alternaria tenuissima
Lineage: Eukaryota; Fungi; Ascomycota; Dothideomycetes; Pleosporales; Pleosporaceae
Description: eukaryotic LSU rRNA
Rfam family: 5.8S ribosomal RNA (bases 176-329)
Source: RNAcentral